AAUUAGCUAAGUUGGUCAGAGCGAAACUCUUUUAAUCCCCAGGUCGUCGGUUCGAUUCCACCA
This 63-nucleotide transfer RNA is filed under the name uncultured Geminigera. The record is from RNAcentral. Lineage: Eukaryota; Cryptophyceae; Pyrenomonadales; Geminigeraceae.